AUGAACGCUGGCGGCGUGCCUAAUACAUGCAAGUCGAGCGAACAGAUAAGGAGCUUGCUCCUUUGACGUUAGCGGCGGACGGGUGAGUAACACGUGGGUAACCUACCUAUAAGACUGGAAUAACUCCGGGAAACCGGGGCUAAUGCCGGAUAACAUUUAGAACCGCAUGGUUCUAAAGUGAAAGAUGGUUUUGCUAUCACUUAUAGAUGGACCCGCGCCGUAUUAGCUAGUUGGUAAGGUAACGGCUUACCAAGGCAACGAUACGUAGCCGACCUGAGAGGGUGAUCGGCCACACUGGAACUGAGACACGGUCCAGACUCCUACGGGAGGCAGCAGUAGGGAAUCUUCCGCAAUGGGCGAAAGCCUGACGGAGCAACGCCGCGUGAGUGAUGAAGGUCUUCGGAUCGUAAAACUCCGUUAUUAGGGAAGAACAAAUGUGUAAGUAACUGUGCACGUCUUGACGGUACCUAAUCAGAAAGCCACGGCUAACUACGUG
This 496-nucleotide ribosomal RNA is filed under the name uncultured bacterium. RNAcentral's name for it is "partial 16S ribosomal RNA". It matches the Rfam family "Bacterial small subunit ribosomal RNA", at positions 29 to 507 of the family's 1533-position model. The record is from RNAcentral.